AUGUCCAGAUUCUCUUGAUGAUGCUGAUGCUUUGGGAAGUAUGUUAAUUUCAUGGUACAUGAGUGGCUAUCAUACUGGCUAUUAUAUGGGUUUUAGACAAAAUCAAAAAGAAGGAAGGUGCUCACAUUCCUUAAAUUAAGGAGAAAUGCUGGCAUAGAGCAGCACUAAAUGACACCACUAAAGAAACGAUCAGACAGAUCUGGAAUGUGAAGCGUUAUAGAAGAUAACUGGCCUCAUUUCUUCAAAAUAUCAAGUGUUGGGAAAGAAAAAAGGAAGUGGAAUGGAGUCUCGCUCUGCUGCCCACGCUGGAGUGCAGUGGUGCAAUCUCAGCUCACUGCAACCUCUGCUAUCCGGGUUCAAGCGGUUCUCGUGCCUCACCCACGUGAGUAGUUGGGAUUACAGGCAUGUGGCACCAUGCCCCACUAAGUUUUGUAUUUUUAGUAGAGAUGGAGUUUCACCAUGUUGGCCAGGCUGGUCUCAAACUCCUGCCCUCAAGUGAUUCGACCACCCUGGCCUCCCAAAGUGCUGGGAUUACAGCCGUGAGCCACCGCACACGGCCUCUCUAUUUAUUUCUAUACAUAGCUUUUCACAUUAUAUUAUGUUUAUAUAUUGUUUAUAUCUGUAUUUCCUCUUUCAUUAGAGAAAAGGUAGUACAUCUUAUUCUUCAUGGUGUCUACAAUAUCUGGCAGUUUUUGGAAGUCAAGCGUGAGCUUAGAGCAUAGACUGGUGGGAUUGUCAAAGAAGAGGGCAACUGGAAGAGAACUGUCAGUUAUUUUUGGAUCAGUCUUUAAUUCAUCAUGACGGGUUAGGCAUUAGUUGUAUUUCUUGCUAAUUUUGAAGAAGACUUAUUAACAAAUCCUACAUUAGGUAAAUGGUUUUGAAAGUUGAGUUAAUCAUAAUGGUGUUUGACCUAGGACUAUUUUUAGGCCCUAUUUAUCUUAAUAUCGAAUAAUGAAGCAGCUUCCCCCUUAGAUAUAGACAGAAAACAUCAAAGCCACCACACUACCUGGCUGGAUUUAUCCUAGUAAUA
RNAcentral lists this unclassified non-coding RNA (1030 nucleotides) under Homo sapiens (human). RNAcentral's name for it is "survival of motor neuron 2, centromeric (ENSG00000273772.4)". Lineage: Eukaryota; Metazoa; Chordata; Mammalia; Primates; Hominidae. The record is from RNAcentral.